AACUUUUAGCAACGGAUCUCUUGGCUCUCGCAUCGAUGAAGAACGCAGCGAAAUGCGAUAAGUAUUGUGAAUUGCAGAAUUCAGUGAAUCAUCGAAUCUUUGAACGCAUCUUGCGCUCCUUGGUAUUCUGAGGUGCAUGCCUGUUUGAGUGUCAUUAAAUUCUCAACUACACUGACUUGGUGUUGCUUGGAUUUGGGGGUUGUGUGCUUUUUGUAGUCUGCUCCCCUGAAAUUAAUUAGCGGUACCUUGGUGGAACUGUCUACAGGUGUGAUAAUUAUCUACAUCCUAGACGUCUGCUGGAAUGCUGCUUUCUAGACCUUACUUGUAUUGACAAUCUUGACCUCAAAUCAGGUAGGACUACCCGCUGAACUUAAGCAUAUCAAUAAGCGGAGGAU
RNAcentral lists this unclassified non-coding RNA (395 nucleotides) under uncultured Inocybe. RNAcentral describes it as "sequence contains ITS2". The stretch from base 1 to 154 matches the Rfam family "5.8S ribosomal RNA". The record is from RNAcentral. Lineage: Eukaryota; Fungi; Basidiomycota; Agaricomycetes; Agaricales; Cortinariaceae.